UCGCUUGUAGGGAAUCACGGGUAAAACC
Molecule: small RNA, 28 nt
Filed under: Bombyx mori (domestic silkworm)
Lineage: Eukaryota; Metazoa; Arthropoda; Insecta; Lepidoptera; Bombycidae
Description: ovarian small RNA-28879
Source: RNAcentral